RNAcentral lists this ribosomal RNA (490 nucleotides) under uncultured bacterium. RNAcentral's name for it is "partial 16S ribosomal RNA". It matches the Rfam family "Bacterial small subunit ribosomal RNA", at positions 30 to 507 of the family's 1533-position model. The record is from RNAcentral.
AUUGAACGCUGGCGGCAUGCCUAACACAUGCAAGUCGAACGGUAACAGGAAGCAGCUUGCUGCUUCGCUGACGGGGGGCGGGCGGGUUAGUUAUGUCUGGGCAGCUGCCUGGGGGAGGGGUAUAACUACUGGAAACUGUUACUAAUACCGCAUAAUGUCGCAAGACCAAGGAGGGGGACCUUCGGCCCUCUUGCCAUCGGAUGUGCCCAGAUGGGAUUAGCUUGUUGGUGGGGUAACGGCUCACCAAGGCGACGAUCCCUAGCUGGUCUGAGAGGAUGACCAGCCACACUGGAACUGAGACACGGUCCAGACUCCUACGGGAGGCAGCAGUGGGGAAUAUUGCACAAUGGGCGCAAGCCUGAUGCAGCCAUCCCGCGUGUAUGAUGAAGGCCUUCGGGUUGUAAAGUACUUUCAGCGGGGAGGAAGGGAGUAAAGCUAAUACCUUUGCUCAUUGACGUUACCCGCAGAAGAAGCACCGGCUAACUACGUG